GCUACUUCAGAUGACCCAGGCCAGAUUCUUGUCUUCAGCAAAACAUUAUGGCACCAGUUAAAUCAACAGAAUGACGUCAAUUUACUCUGAGAAUCCAGAAUUAAGCAAAAGUUAAAAGGAUGAAGCUGAACAAAACCCUUUGACCUAACUGUUGCUGGAUGAAGUUCACAGCUGGCUUUGUAAAUGGUGCUGAGAAACCUGAAGUGUCAUUGCUAAAGGCUGGUAAGUGAUGUAUUUAAUUAACAUCUAAAGCAUUGACAAAUUUAGUGAAAGCACAGUAAAAUGCAGUUCAUUUAAGUUGAAAUAAUGUUUUGGGGUUUUUGACUUUGAUUAGCUAAAGAAGAGAAUAUUGUAAAUAGUUUGGGUUGGAGUUUUAUUUCUGAAGUCAGAUAUUGUUUUCAAUAUGGUUAUUUCAGUGCAUGAGACAGGUGUUGUGUAGGCACAGAAGGCUACACUAGAUGUUCUGAUGUCUGCAUAAUUAUAUUCCAACAAUACAUUAUAAUUCUUUUAAAAUUAUUUGCAUAAACCUUGAAGCAUCUGCAGAACUUGCCCUAUCCUUCAGGUUCGUAAGAGCCAUCCUCCUUAAAAAAUAAAUCUUCUGCUUGUUUUUCUUCA
RNAcentral lists this long non-coding RNA (615 nucleotides) under Anser brachyrhynchus (Pink-footed goose). RNAcentral describes it as "lncRNA (ENSABRG00000002239.1)". The record is from RNAcentral. Lineage: Eukaryota; Metazoa; Chordata; Aves; Anseriformes; Anatidae.